CAGUUUGUUCUGAACACUAAAACCCUCCCGACUACCUAAUUUACAGAGGAAGUGGGUCAGCGGAGCGAUACGCGUUAGGUGCUUUCAGAGUCUUCAUCGCGUUUUUCGACGUUUUCCAAAAACAAUCCUUGACGGCGGGGAACCCCGCUGCUUGAUAGCCGGCGUCGUCGAGCAAACAGGCCACGCGCUCAUUUAGCCUUGUUUUUAUUUAUAUUAUCCCAGUUCCUUCGCGGAGUUAAAAACACCUAAGGGCUAAAAAAAAUAUAUAAUGUCGGGAGAGCAAAUUCUCAUCACGCUGGAGACAGGCAAUGGGACACCGAGUUCGUUUCCAGUGGUCCUGAAGAAAAUAAUGGAAAUGCCUCCGCCGAAUAUACUGGACGGCGACGACGACACCGACAAAGAGAAGCUGUGUCUGGGAGAUAAUGUCGACCUCGGCGUCGGAGGCAGCGACAUGGGUCCGUCGGCCGCCCUGACCCCCGCCAUCUGGGACAAGACCAUCCCCUACGAUGGCGAGAACUUUCACCUGGAGUACAUGGACCUGGAGGAGUUCCUCAUGGAGAACGGCAUCCCCACCUCGCUCGACGAGGAAUCCCCGAAGGGGAGCCCAGAAGGGGAAGCCGGGGACACGGAGGAAGUGAAGGCGACUCCCAGCGCGAAGACCAAGGUUAUCAAGCAAGCAAGCGCUUCUCCGGUGACCCUGCUGCCCAUCCAGGAUUUGGACAAGUGUGAGGAAGUGGUGAUCAUCACCAAGAACGACUCCGAUGUCACCUGUGACGUCAUUGCAGAGGUGACCACUGAAAAGGACAGAGCGACCCCGGAGCCCAUCAGCCCAGACGAUAUCGAGGUGGAUAUCGAGUACGAGCCGGAUCCUACAGACCUGGUCUUGUCCAGUGUGCCUGGAGGCGAACUGUUUGACCCACGCAAACACAAGUUCACCGAAGACGAGCUGAAGCCGCAGCCUAUGAUUAAAAAGGCCAAGAAGGUGUUUGUGCCUGAUGAACAGAAGGAUGAGAAAUACUGGCAGAGGAGGAAGAAGAACAACGUGGCCGCCAAGCGCUCGCGCGAUGCCCGCAGGUUAAAGGAGAACCAGAUCACGGUCCGAGCGGCUUUCCUGGAGCGUGAGAACGCGGCGCUGCGGUCGGAGGUGGCCGAGCUGCGGAAGGAGUGCGGCCGCUACAAGAACGUCAUGGGUCGCUACGAAUCCAAAUUUGGACCACUGUAAGGGACCGAACACACGGAGGAGUGAAUGGACAUCCACACGCAGACAGCCCAGUUUCAGUCAUUUGUCUUUACAUGUGAGGCACAUCUUGAACGACAGCCUUGUUGACAGAAUCUACAGCUUACUUGUUGCAUGGGUGCGGUGCCAGAUGACCAGUAGGCAACAGUUGAUUUAUUCAUUUAUUUUUUCCAAUGAAUAAAUAAAUCAAAACAUUGCGGUUGGUACGUGUGCGUAAAGAAGACGACGACAAAGAGGAGAAGAACGCGUGCGAGGGCAUUGGCCGAUGUUGCCAUGGAGAUAUAACGGCAUGUUAAGAUAUCAAUAUCUGGUUUUUAUUUUUAUUUUUUUAUCAACUGUUAUUUAGCAUCUGCGUGAGUGAGAAGAGUGUGAGAGGAUUUUCAAGUGCUUCUUCAGUGCGCCUUGUUUAUGAGGCGCACUUUUAUCAAGUUUUUACAUCUCUGUCCUAAAGAUAAUGAGAUAAUAAUAAUUUGUGAUGUUUAUUUUGGACUUUUGGAUCUCUGGGUUUUAAAGGAGAUGGGUGUCAUUUAGGUAGCAGAUGCAAUAGUUUAGUCACAUUAGUGUUUGCAGGUUGCUUCCAGCUGUUCUCAGAUUUUAAGAAAUUCUGACAACCACUUGUCCAAUUUAGUUUUCAAGUUUUUAUUAUGUGGCAGAUUGUAUGAAGACAAGCAGGGCCUUGUUUUUGCCCUCUCAAAUUUUAUUGACUGUGACAUUUCCAUUAAUUUAACUACUUCAGGGGAUUAAAGUGACAUGGCAAAAAAAAAAAGUGUGGCCAUGUCAGCAGCGGCGCAGAGCUGUAUGUAAACGCUCUGCUUCAGUGUAAGCUUUUCUGUUGCUUGAGUUAUUUUUGUCCGAACGUUGGACGCCCUGCUUUGCUCUCUGCAGGUUGUCAGAGUUGACGAGUCCAUUAAAUGUGUAGAAUCUAUUGAUGCUUGUAUUGUAAAUAGUUCUAAGCUAAAAAAAAAGUCAUCUAAAAAUCUACUCAGACUUAUAGGACAAACACUCAGAUACUGUGAUAGUCAGGUAUUUGUAUAAUGUUGAUUUACAUCAGGAAUGAAACAAUGAAAUUUCCCUUCCUAAAAGCCCAAACUGCACCAUUUGCUCAGCACCGUUUGGGAGCAAAGUUAAUACACAACCCUAAGUGCGGAAUGAGUCACCAACAUUUUUAAAAUCGUUUUCCAGGACAACUCCAAUAUACCAUUAAGUGCAACAACGUUUUUAUCGAUGGUGACAUGAAGUUUAAAACAUAUCCUAUAAAAACACUUAACGUCAAGUUUGAUUUUAUGGAGGACCUUUCUUCAGACUUUUUUGUUAGUAUCUGCAGUUUGUUUUUAAGAAAGACUGAGAUUGGUAGUCUCAGUAAUAAGCAUGAGGGAUCUUUAAUACUUCAAAGUGUCUUCUAUUUCUAAAGUGGUUUCAAUUCAGCAAACAUACAGCCUGUGAGUUUACUGGGGACGUUGUGCAACAUUACACCUGAAAAUAAAGGUUCUUCACUGUCUAGUUCUCUAUUGACAAUAAGGGAAAGAUUUUAUAUCACUCCUUUUCUGCUGUGCUUCCAUCCAUCUAUAUUUUUUACCAAAAUAAAUCCAAUUUUAUUAUUUGUGAAUAAAAACAGGCAUGUGCUGUUUUGUGAAAACCAAAAUGUUGUUGAAAUAUUUCAAGCCUUUUUGAAGCUCUACAGAGAUUACUUCACUCCAAGCCUCAUUCAGUUUAUUCUCAUAUUCCAUAAUACGGUCUCUUUUUAAAGAGUCAUUUUUAGUUAGGAUAUUUUUUGGAAUAAUUCUUAGCGAUAGUUACCACUCUGUCUCGUUCUCUUUUUUUUUUCUAUUCUAUUUUAAUGGAGGCUUCAUCUUCCUCUUCUGGAACAGGUCAAUUUGUUAUUUUUGAGAGGUUAGUUCAACCUUCCUGGUUAAGAUUUUGUAUUUCUUUGUUAAAAAAAUGUUGGCUUGUUCAGUGUGGCUAUGUUUUGUGUCUUGUGUAUAUAUAUAUAUAUACACACACACUAUAUGUAUAUAUACUAUGUACAAUUAAAGCUUCGUUGACAGAA
RNA transcript from Mugil cephalus (flathead mullet), 3284 nucleotides. It is a transcript of the gene named TEF transcription factor, PAR bZIP family member a, with no coding region annotated. Lineage: Eukaryota; Metazoa; Chordata; Actinopteri; Mugiliformes; Mugilidae. The transcript is spliced from 5 exons. The record is from RefSeq and is a predicted model, not a curated record.